Molecule: non-coding RNA, 495 nt
Organism: Drosophila melanogaster (fruit fly)
Lineage: Eukaryota; Metazoa; Arthropoda; Insecta; Diptera; Drosophilidae
Source: Ensembl
GCGUGUUGCCCCACCGUAUCUUUGACUCAAUCUCGAGGCAGCCUGGCCGAACGAACGGUCUUGGAUCUUUGGAACUCCAUUCGAUCCGCAGUCUGCCGCCCCCCUCCCCCCUCCUCCACCACUCCCAAUACCCAUCGCAGUGGUUCUGGGUUGGGCGAUGGUGGGGCGGAGAUAAUGCCCGGCGAGUGCUGAGGGCGGCAAUGAUGAACCCUCCGCAUCCAAUUGAGGGGCGGACGGCAGUUUCGUUGCGGUUGAAGUGAAUCCAAAGGCGAGGAAAUCCUUUGGCGUUCAGGAGAUCAGGUUCGAAAGUUAAAAAAGCACAACCUGAGCAAUUAAAAUACCUCGUUUAGAGCUGGAUUAGAUAAAUAAACUUGGCGCCGGACAAACCUAUGAAUAUUCAUAUGUCUGCUAAACGGAUUCGGACCGCAAGCUAAUAUCCAAAAAAAAAAUGGCUAAGUGUGCUAAUAUAUUCAAGAUUAUGCUAAAUACAUAAAU